This 388-nucleotide ribosomal RNA is filed under the name uncultured bacterium. RNAcentral describes it as "bacterial SSU rRNA". It matches the Rfam family "Bacterial small subunit ribosomal RNA", at positions 28 to 416 of the family's 1533-position model. The record is from RNAcentral.
GAUGAACGCUGGCGGCGUGCUUAACACAUGCAAGUCGAGCGGUAAGGCCCUUUCGGGGGUACGACGAGCGGCGAACGGGUGAGUAACACGUGGGUGACCUGCCCUCAGCUCUGGGAUAAGCCUGGGAAACCGGGUCUAAUACCGGAUAUGACUCCAUGACGCAUGUUGUGGGGUGGAAAGCCUUGUGCGGCUGAGGAUGGGCCCGCGGCCUAUCAGCUUGUUGGUGGGGUGANGGCCUACCAAGGCGACGACGGGUAGCCGGCCUGAGAGGGCGACCGGCCACACUGGGACUGAGACACGGCCCAGACUCCUACGGGAGGCAGCAGUGGGGAAUCUUGCGCAAUGGGCGAAAGCCUGACGCAGCGACGCCGCGUGAGGGAUGACGGCC